GGUUUGAUUAUAGUGAUUGAACGCUGGCGGGAUGUCUUUACACAUGCAAGUCGAACGGCAGCACGGACUUCGGUCUGGUGGCGAGUGGCGAACGGGUGAGUAAUGUAUCGGAACGUGCCUAGUAGCGGGGGAUAACUACGCGGCGUAGCUAAUACCGCAUACGCCCUUCAGGGAAAGCGGGGACCUUCGGGCCUCGCACUAUUAGAGCGGCCGAUAUCGGAUUAGCUAGUUGGUGGGGUAACGGCUCGCAAAGGCGACGAUCCGUAGCUGGUUUGAGAGGACGACCAGCCACACUGGGACUGAGACACGGCCCAGACUCCUACGGGAGGCAGCAGUGGGGAAUUUUGGACAAUGGAAACCCUGAUCCAAUACCAUCCCGCGUGUGCGAUGAAGGCCUUCGGGUUGUAAAGCACUUUUGGCAGGAAAAGAAACGGCUGGGAUAGUAAUACCCCGUGCAACUGACGGUACCUGCGGAAUAAGCACCGGCUAACUACGUGCCAGCAGCCGCGGUAAUACGUAGGGUGCAAGCGUUAAUCGGAAUUACUGGGCGUAAAGCGUGCGCGGGCGGUUCGGAAAGAAGAUGUGAAAUCCCAGAGCUUAACUUUGGAACUGCAUUUUUAACUACCGAGCUAGAGUGUGUCAGAGGGAGGUGGAAUUCCGCGUGUAGCAGUGAAUAUGGUAUUACCGGAGGAACACCGAUGGCGAAGCAGCCUCCUGGGAUAACACUGACGCUCAUGCACGAAAGCGUGGGGAGCAAACAGGAUUAGAUACCCUGGUAGUCCACGCCUAAACGAUGUCAACUAGCUGUUGGGGCCUUCGGGCAUGGUAGCGCAGCUAACGUAGGGUUGUACGCCUGGGGAGUACGGUCACAAGAUUAAAACUCAAAGGAAUCGACGGGGACCCGCACAAGCGGUGGAUGAUGUGGAUUAAUUCGAUGCAACGCGGCGAAAACCUUACCUACCCUUGACGCCACUCUGGAAUCCCGAAGAGAUUUGGGAGUGCUCGCAAGAGAACCGGAACACAGGUGCUGCAUGGCUGUCGUCAGCUCGUGUCGUGAGAUGUUGGGUUAAGUCCCGCAACGAGCGCAACCCUUGUCAUUAGUUGCUACGAAGGGCACUCUAAUGAGACUGCCAGUGACAAACCGGAGGAAGGUGGGGAUGACGUCAAGUCCUCAUGGCCCUUAUGGGUAGGGCUUCACACACGUCAUACAAUGGUCGGGACAGAGGGUCGCCAACCCGCGAGGGGAAUAUUCCCAGAAACCCGAUCGUAGUCCGGAUCGCAGUCUGCAACUCGACUGCGUGAAGUCGGAAUCGCUAGUAAUCGCGGAUCAGCAUGUCGCGGUGAAUACGUUCCCGGGUCUUGUACACACCGCCCGUCACACCAUACAAGGUGGGUUUUACCCAGAAGUAGUUAGCCUAACCGUAAGGAGGGCGAUUACCACGGUAGGAUUCAUGACUGGGGUGAAGUCGUAACAAGGUAA
Molecule: ribosomal RNA, 1480 nt
Filed under: uncultured Bordetella sp.
Lineage: Bacteria; Pseudomonadati; Pseudomonadota; Betaproteobacteria; Burkholderiales; Alcaligenaceae
Description: partial 16S-23S ribosomal RNA intergenic spacer
Rfam family: Bacterial small subunit ribosomal RNA
Source: RNAcentral